AGGCAGUAGAGGGGCUGGAUUAAGAUUUGUUUGGGAUCCAGAGGGCUUGGCUUUAUUUAUUUGUUUAUUUGCAGGGGAAAGAGGUUGAAGAGGAGGACAGAUUGCAUUUGGUUGAAAUGAUUGGGUGGUUGCCACUAUAAAGAUGCAAGCUAAAGCUAGAAGCGAAAGAAUUGAAAUAGCAAAAGUAGUGGAAUUGGAAGCUCAGCAGAAAGCAGCUGAGGAGGCUGCAGAGAACAAAAGCCUCUGAGAAUGUUAAGAAUACUACAGUUCGUUGAUGCUCCUGAGAUUGUAAACAAGAUCUCAGGGCAGGCAGUGGAAUUAGGAUCUGAUGUACAAAGUUCUCUACAAUCACGAGGUGCAUUUUGAUCAUA
Long non-coding RNA from Ipomoea nil (Japanese morning glory), 371 nucleotides. RefSeq lists it as uncharacterized. Lineage: Eukaryota; Viridiplantae; Streptophyta; Magnoliopsida; Solanales; Convolvulaceae. The record is from RefSeq and is a predicted model, not a curated record. The transcript has 3 exons.